UAACUUGAGAGUUCGAUCCUGGCUCAGAACGAACGCUGGCGGCACGCUUAACACAUGCAAGUCGAACGAAAUUAUGAAGCUUGCUUUAUAAUUUAGUGGCGCACGGGUGAGUAACACGUGGAUACCUGCCUAUCGAUGGUGGACAACUCCGGGAAACUGGAGCUAAUACAGCAUAAUCUCGAGAGAGGAAAGAUCGAAAGGUCGUCGAUAGAGGGG
RNAcentral lists this ribosomal RNA (216 nucleotides) under Holosporaceae bacterium. Its description in RNAcentral is "partial 16S ribosomal RNA". It matches the Rfam family "Bacterial small subunit ribosomal RNA", at positions 1 to 229 of the family's 1533-position model. Lineage: Bacteria; Pseudomonadati; Pseudomonadota; Alphaproteobacteria; Holosporales; Holosporaceae. The record is from RNAcentral.